Long non-coding RNA from Cavia porcellus (domestic guinea pig), 2893 nucleotides. RefSeq lists it as uncharacterized. The record is from RefSeq and is a predicted model, not a curated record. The transcript has 5 exons. NCBI's taxonomy places the organism in Eukaryota, Metazoa, Chordata, Mammalia, Rodentia, Caviidae.
CAACUGCGGCUGCUGCUGUUUGCUGGCAAUUUCCUGUUCACAGAAUAAUUAUAAAAACACAAAGCUUGCUUCUAGGCUGGGAUCGGCAGGGUAAUGAAGACUCCCACUUUGCUUCAGAUUCUGAAUGUAUUGAAAGCCCAGCCCAAGAAAAGUGUCUGGCCAUCCACUCCAGCGCUGCUCCGGCUAUCUGCAGUGAGCCUGGCUUUUCUCCGGCAAAGCCGAGGUCCCUACGGAGUGCCCUCGAUUCAGUCCUUGGGGAAGGGCCUGAAGUCACAGUGCCAGAUUCAGUAGAGAAGGUGGCUGAGGACCCGGGGUCACCUUUCUGUGAGCUGCCUUCCUGCUGGAUGGCCCUCGGCAGCAGCGUUCACCGCACUUUUAACCAUACUUUGAAGAUACUCCUGAAAGAGGGCUUCCAGAACGGCUGCUGAGGUGGCAAGGCUGGAGGUCUCAGUGUGACGGAGGAGGCUGGAGUGCCUGGCACCGUGUCCUGUCUGUGACACCCUCGUGGUUUUGGACAUUUGCCUUAUUUCCCCCCAUCUGUACACCACAGUGACCGGGACGGGCUGAUGCCACAGAGCGUUGACCGUGGUACCCGGCAUCGGGCAGGAGUUUCCUAAACGAUGAAGAAGGAGAGGCACAGAGAGGCUAAACACAAUGCGCUGAGUCCCACAGCUGGCAUCGGUGGGGCUGGGCUUCCACCCCGUGACCGUAUCUCUGGUCGUGUAUUAAUCGCCGCCCCAGACAUCUCCUCCAAGUCCCACUCGGAGCGCUCACUGUUCAUGAAAUCCAAAGCAGGGGACACGGGGCGAGCCCCUGACUCAAGGCCUGGCACACAGUGUGCCCAAGAAGGAGCACGAAUGUCGCUGCUGCAGCCCUCAGUGGGUCCCUGUGAUCGUGAGCGCGGUGGCUGUGAUGGCACCAGGUGGUGACAGAACCUGCCCUUGUUGGCCCUGUGGGCUUUCUUCAGCCUCACCAGUCUCAGCAGAAAGACCUGGGCUGAUGGCCUUGUGGGCGCUUCCCCAGGCUCCUUCUCCUGCCCGACCCCUUACUGUGAAUGUGCCAUCUGGACUCCAGCCCUUCAGGGUCUCCCCGGGGGUCCCGCCCGCUCCCCGUCUGCAGGUCUGCAGAGUUUGCUCUUUGGCAGAUGAAACGCGCACACAGCUCCUGCCCCUUCCGCCUGGACUAAGGAGCUUGCGUUCUGCUUCCCCGGUGACCCUGCUCUUUGCUUCAGAGUUCUCUGUAAGAGCUGCUGCAGCCUCUGCGUCUCCUCCCCUCCUGCUCUUCCAAGGCCACCCCGUUCAGACAGAGGCCUUUCCACCGACACUGCUGCCCAGCCCCCAGCGAGUGCCGACUGCAAGACCGUACCCAGCGGUCGGCUCUUGGCUUUUAUUGGUCUUCAACUGAACAUCAAACAGCUAAAAUUUAUUUCUUCUUUUCCCUCUUCCUCCUCUUUUUCUUUUUCUCCUUCUUGUUUUUUAUGUUUUCUCACUGAAAUACAUCCCAAGCCUUUUAAUAUACAUAUUAAUAUAUAUAAAAUUAUAUAUAUUUGAGAGUAUUUCCAAGUUGCUGAAUUACUCUAAUAGGCCAACAAUAGUGUCUGUUGUUGCCUCCUGGAGUCUGGGACGUGAGCCUGUGCCACCACAGCGGCCUUUGCCUCCUUGGUCUCCUCCUCCACCUGGCUGUCGGGUGUCCCCUCCGGGCUCACUCCCUUCUCUGGGCAUUGUCCUCCUCGGUUUCCUUGGCUGGUUUCUUCUCUCGUAUUACUGGAGAGCCACUGGGCUCGGACUUGGUCUCCUUCUCUGUGACGCUCACAUCCUCGGUAAUCCCACCCCCCAUGGAUGUAAAUUCCAUCCCUAUGCUCUGAAACUCUGAAAUUUAAAUUUCCAUCCCAGCCCUCUUACCUAAACAGCAGCCACAAUAUCUGAGUGCGUUCUCAGCAUCACUUGUGUGUCAGAUUUUCUUCACACUAAAAAAUGUUGCCAGUUGAGGUGAUUUCCACCCCACGACUGCUCCCCAGUCUUCCCAUACAUGGCCGGUGACAGUGAUUCCAUCCUCUGGUUGCUCAGGCCACAGUCUUAGGAAUCUCCCUGGGCUGUGCUCACCAUGUGCACUCCGUCAGGAAAUCCUGCUUGCUUCUUCCAUCUUGCUAUUUCUUUCUUUUUUUUUAUUUAAAGAGAAAAAAAAGAAAGGACAUAAAAAAACAAAGCAGUAAAAGGGUACAAAUAAUACAGUAUUUCAAGAAAAAAUAUACAAUAAGAAAUCACCAGUUAAUAGGUCACACAUUAUCUUCCCAGGAACAGUUGUCCAAAUUACAAAAUUAAAGCAUAUAAAGUGGACAUUCAUACAGUGAAAUUGGAGACAGUUCCGUUCAACGAUCCAACAAAAGCUCAGUAAUAUGGUUUUCCAUCCUACACACUCGAACGUACCUGCGGUUAUAUCCCUUAGUCCACCUUCCUUUCCUCUCUUUUUUUACAAUAACAAUUAGACAUUUUGGGCUUUAUUACUCCCACAGUUCUUAUUACUUUUUUUGAAGAGAAUAAAACCAAACGUGACUAAGCAAAACAGAACAGAAGGGUGGGCAUAGCACAUGAUGCAAAAAUAGAAUACCAGGUGAUCAAAAGUGGUUACCACUGUGCCUCUUGCUAUUUUUAAACUGCGUUGUCUAUAUCAUCAGGUAUAAUAGAAUUGAUGAAAACAGUACAGAACAAGACCAAUAAAACCUCCACUGGAGACCUUGCAGGACUUCAAAAAAAGGAUAAUAGUCAAACCAUAAUGGGCAUCAUAGUGUAUCUUCUUGCCUUCAAAGUGGUUGCCUAUACCCUCAAACUUGGUACUAUCAAACAAAAUAGAAUAUAGAAUAAUCAGAACAAGAUGGGGAGAGCAAUACUGGGGU